This 753-nucleotide ribosomal RNA is filed under the name Triticum aestivum (bread wheat). RNAcentral's name for it is "partial small subunit ribosomal RNA". The record is from RNAcentral. Lineage: Eukaryota; Viridiplantae; Streptophyta; Magnoliopsida; Poales; Poaceae.
AUGCUUGAGGAGAUGUCUGCUCUCGACAAGAAUAAUACAUGGGUAAUUACUCCACUUCCUUGUAACAAGAAAGUGGUAGGUUGCAAAUGGGUGUUUACCAUAAAACAUACACCCGAAGGGAAAGUAGAUAGAUAUAAGGCGAGACUUGUGGCGAAAGGUUAUAGCCAGACAUAUGGAGUGGACUAUGAUGAAACCUUCGCCCCAGUUGCAAAGAUGAACACCAUCAGAGCUUUAAUCUCGGUGGCAGCAAAUAACAAGUGGAAGUUGUUUCAGCUAGAUGUGAAGAAUGCAUUUCUUCAUGGAGAUUUGAAAGAAGAAGUUUAUAUGGAGAUUCCACCAGGGUUCAGUGGGCCUGAGACAAUGGGGAAUGAUGAUGUGGAGAUAAAGAACUUGAAGAAAAUGUUGGCGAAAUCAUUUGAAGUCAAAGACCUUGGCUUCCUCCACUUCUUCCUGGGAAUAGAAGUAGCUUAUGGAGCUCAAGGUAUCUAUCUUUCUCAAAGGAAAUAUCUGCUUGAUCUUCUCGCUGAAACUAGGAUGCUUGAAAGUAAACCAGCUGCCACACCAAUUGAACCAAACCUUCGUAUUACAGCCAAUUCAGGAGAACCUGUUGAUAGGGGGAGAUACCAGAGACUUGUGGGACGUUUAAUUUAUCUAUCCCAUACUAGACCAGACAUUGCAUAUGCCGUGAGCCUGGAGAUCCACUUCAGGUUAUUGCGUCUUCUUGGGAGGAAAUUUAGUCAGUUGGAGGAGUAA